Molecule: ribosomal RNA, 761 nt
Filed under: uncultured Mycobacterium sp.
Lineage: Bacteria; Bacillati; Actinomycetota; Actinomycetes; Mycobacteriales; Mycobacteriaceae
Description: bacterial SSU rRNA
Rfam family: Bacterial small subunit ribosomal RNA
Source: RNAcentral
GGUUUGUCGCGUUGUUCGUGAAAUCUCACGGCUUAACUGUGAGCGUGCGGGCGAUACGGGCAGACUUGAGUACUGCAGGGGAGACUGGAAUUCCGGGUGUAGCGGUGGAAUGCGCAGAUAUCAGGAGGAACACCGGUGGCGAAGGCGGGUCUCUGGGCAGUAACUGACGCUGAGGAGCGAAAGCGUGGGGAGCGAACAGGAUUAGAUACCCUGGUAGUCCACGCCGUAAACGGUGGGUACUAGGUGUGGGUUUCCUUCCUUGGGAUCCGUGCCGUAGCUAGCGCAAUUAAGUACCCCGCCUGGGGAGUACGGCCGCAAGGCUAAAACUCAAAGAAAUGCACGGGGGCCCGCACAAGCGGCGGAGCAUGUGGAUUCAUUCGAUGCAACGCGAAGAACCUUACCUGGGUUUGACAUGCACAGGACGCCGGCAGAGAUGUCGGUUCCCUUGUGGCCUGUGUGCAGGUGGUGCAUGGCUGUCGUCAGCUCGUGUCGUGAGAUGUUGGGUUAAGUCCCGCAACGAGCGCAACCCUUGUCUCAUGUUGCCAGCGGGUAAUGCCGGGGACUCGUGAGAGACUGCCGGGGUCAACUCGGAGGAAGGUGGGGAUGACGUCAAGUCAUCAUGCCCCUUAUGUCCAGGGCUUCACACAUGCUACAAUGGCCGGUACAAAGGGCUGCGAUGCCGCGAGGUUAAGCGAAUCCUUUUAAAGCCGGUCUCAGUUCGGAUCGGGGUCUGCAACUCGACCCCGUGAAGUCGGAGUCGC